Molecule: ribosomal RNA, 301 nt
Filed under: uncultured bacterium
Lineage: Bacteria
Description: partial 16S ribosomal RNA
Rfam family: Bacterial small subunit ribosomal RNA
Source: RNAcentral
CAGUAGCCGCGGUAAUACAGAGGGUGCGAGCGUUAAUCGGAUUUACUGGGCGUAAAGCGUGCGUAGGCGGCUAAUUGAGUCGGAUGUGAAAUCCCCGAGCUUAACUUAGGAAUUGCAUUCGAUACUGGGAAGCUAGAGUAUGGGAGAGGAUGGUAGAAUUCCAGGUGUAGCGGUGAAAUGCGCAGAGAUCUGGAGGAAUACCGAUGGCGAAGGCAGCCAUCUGGCCUAAUACUGACGCUGAGGUACGAAAGCAUGGGGAGCAAACAGGAUUAGAUACCCGUGUAGUCCCUGUCUCUUAUAA